UACAGAGGGUGCGAGCGUUAAUCGGAAUUACUGGGCGUAAAGCGUGCGUAGACGGCUAUCUAAGUCGGGUGUGAAAGCCCCGGGCUCAACCUGGGAAUUGCAUUCGAGACUGAAUAGCUAGGGUACGGUAGAGGGAAGCGGAAUUUCCGGUGUAGCGGUGAAAUGCGUAGAUAUCGGAAGGAACAUCAGUGGCGAAAGCGGCAUCCUGGACUGGUCCUGACGCUCAGGAGCGAAAGCGUGGGGAGCGAUCCGG
This 253-nucleotide ribosomal RNA is filed under the name uncultured bacterium. RNAcentral describes it as "partial 16S ribosomal RNA". It matches the Rfam family "Bacterial small subunit ribosomal RNA", at positions 524 to 776 of the family's 1533-position model. The record is from RNAcentral.